Molecule: ribosomal RNA, 426 nt
Filed under: Triticum aestivum (bread wheat)
Lineage: Eukaryota; Viridiplantae; Streptophyta; Magnoliopsida; Poales; Poaceae
Description: partial small subunit ribosomal RNA
Source: RNAcentral
AUGCUUUUCAUUCUGGCAAUAGACCCGUUGCAACAGAUUCUCCGUCUCGCCUCUGAGCAGGGCAUCCUCAAGCCCAUCCGCGCUCGUUCCGCCAGAUGUAGAAUCUCUCUCUUUGCGGAUGAUGCAGGCAUCUUUGCCAACCCUGAUAAGGAGGAGCUGCGGGCGAUCUCGGCCAUACUAAAAGCCUUUGGGGAGGCUAGUGGCCUAAUCACGAACCUAUCAAAUACCGAGGUUUUUCCGAUACGAUGCGGGGACUUUGACCUACAGGACAUACUCACCGUCUUCCCCGCCAAGAUUGCCAGCUUCCCAGGACGCUACCUCGGACUUCCAUUGCACUAUCGUCGGCUCCGGAGGGUUGACCUCCAACCUUUCAUCGACAAGAUUGCGGGUAGACUGCCGGGUUGGAAAGGGAAAGCUACUAAAUAA